This 363-nucleotide ribosomal RNA is filed under the name Thoressa luanchuanensis. RNAcentral's name for it is "SSU rRNA". It matches the Rfam family "Eukaryotic small subunit ribosomal RNA", at positions 1162 to 1514 of the family's 1831-position model. Lineage: Eukaryota; Metazoa; Arthropoda; Insecta; Lepidoptera; Hesperiidae. The record is from RNAcentral.
GGGCACCACCAGGGGGUGCAGCUGCGGCUUAUUUGACUCAACACGGGAAAUCUCACCAGGCCCGGACACCGGAAGGAUUGACAGAUUAACAGCUCUUUCUUGAUUCGGUGGGUGGUGGUGCAUGGCCGUUCUUAGUUGGUGGAGCGAUUUGUCUGGUUAAUUCCGGUAACGAACGAGACUCUAGCCUGCUAAAUAGGCGUCGCCAUUUAGGUGUGCUCGACUUCGGUCGUGCAACUCACUGGCGACGUAUUAAAAUUCUUCUUAGAGGGACCGGCGGCUUCGAGCCGCACGAGAUUGAGCAAUAACAGGUCUGUGAUGCCCUUAGAUGUCCUGGGCCGCACGCGCGCUACAUGCAAGGAAUCA